AGAGUUUGAUCMSNSUGGCUCAGGACGAACGCUGGCGGCGUGCCUAAUACAUGCAAGUCGAGCGGAUCUUGCCUUCGGGUAAGGUUAGCGGCGGACGGGUGAGUAACACGUGGGUAACCUGCCCAUAAGACUGGGAUAACAUUCGGAAACGAAUGCUAAUACCGGAUACGCGARKCGGUCGCAUGAUCGAAUCGGGAAAGGCGGAGCAAUCUGCCACUUAUGGAUGGACCCGCGGCGCAUUAGCUAGUUGGUGGGGUAACGGCUCACCAAGGCGACGAUGCGUAGCCGACCUGAGAGGGUGAUCGGCCACACUGGGACUGAGACACGGCCCAGRCUCCUACGGGAGGCAGCAGUAGGGAAUCUUCCGYAAUGGACGAAAGUCUGACGGAGCAACGCCGCGUGAGUGAUGAAGGUUUUCGGAUCGUAAAGCUCUGUUGCCAGGGAAGAACGCUURCGAGAGUAACUGCUCGCAAGGUGACGGUACCUGAGAAGAAAGCCCCGGCUAACUACGUGCCAGCAGCCGCGGUAAUACGUAGGKGGCAAGCGUUGUCCGGAAUUAUUGGGCGUAAAGCGCGCGCAGGUGGUUUCUUAAGUCUGAUGUGAAAGCCCACGGCUCAACCGUGGAGGGUCAUUGGAAACUGGGAGACUUGAGUGCAGAAGAGGAUAGUGGAAUUCCAAGUGUAGCGGUGAAAUGCGUAGAGAUUUGGAGGAACACCAGUGGCGAAGGCGACUAUCUGGUCUGUAACUGACACUGAGGCGCGAAAGCGUGGGGAGCAAACAGGAUUAGAUACCCCUGGUAGU
This 801-nucleotide ribosomal RNA is filed under the name uncultured bacterium. RNAcentral describes it as "bacterial SSU rRNA". It matches the Rfam family "Bacterial small subunit ribosomal RNA", at positions 8 to 794 of the family's 1533-position model. The record is from RNAcentral.